This 238-nucleotide ribosomal RNA is filed under the name uncultured bacterium. RNAcentral's name for it is "partial 16S ribosomal RNA". It matches the Rfam family "Bacterial small subunit ribosomal RNA", at positions 524 to 762 of the family's 1533-position model. The record is from RNAcentral.
UACGGAGGGUCCGAGCGUUAUCCGGAAUCAUUGGGUUUAAAGGGUCCGCAGGCGGUCAAUUAAGUCAGAGGUGAAAUCCCAUAGCUUAACUAUGGAACUGCCUUUGAUACUGGUUGACUUGAGUCAUAUGGAAGUAGAUAGAAUGUGUAGUGUAGCGGUGAAAUGCAUAGAUAUUACACAGAAUACCGAUUGCGAAGCAGUCUACUACGUAUGUACUGACGCUGAGGGACGAAAGCGU